This 4370-nucleotide long non-coding RNA is filed under the name Canis lupus familiaris (dog). Its description in RNAcentral is "lncRNA (ENSCAFG00845004083.1)". The record is from RNAcentral. Lineage: Eukaryota; Metazoa; Chordata; Mammalia; Carnivora; Canidae.
UUUUUUUGCCUCAGCGAGCCUUGCUGAAGGUGGACUGGGGGGGGGGGGGGGGGGAAGCAGCUGUUGUUUUAUCUGUAUCACACUAGAAAUCCUUUCCUUCACCUCGUGUCUGGUCCCUCACCCCUGAAGUCGAAUUUAGGCCUAUCUGUCAAAGGUGAGAGAUACCUCCUUGAAAUGCAGUGUAUGACAGAAAAUCAACCUAUAAGAAUGCAUAGUUUUCUCUGUUGGAAUAUUUCCGUAAGUAUUAUUCCAUGAAGUAAAGAUUCCUCUUGCAACAGACACUCAAAGAGAAAUUCAGAGGGAGCAAAAAGAAUCUUUAAAAGGGUUGACUGAACCUAUACUCAUAAAAGCCACACUCUGGGACAUUCGCUGAAUUCCAGGCUGUCAAAUGUUUCAUCUUCUUACUCCAAAUUGUAAAUGUCCUAAACUAUUAAGUAGGAAGAAACCAGACCUCACCAAUGUUCCCCUGGAGAACUGCCCCUGCCACCACCAAGGCGGCCUGAAGAUCUGUUCACAGCAGCCGACGCAGUCUCACUGGGAACAGCAGGGAGCCAUUUCGUGUAUACAAAGCACAGGUGAGAACAUAGGUGUCACAAUAGCAAAACCCUCAACUCUGGAGUGAGAGAAGCCUCACCUGUGCCCCUCAUAGACACUCUGGAGGUUUCUGAGGGGGAAGAAAGGAAUGUUUAUGGUUAAUUUGAGAACAUGCCAUUUUUCUAAGCAACUGCAGCCCACAAAUGAUCUUCAAGAGAUGGAACUAAAUGAAAUUCCAGUCUUGCUUUUUAUGCAAUUCUACCUCACAAAGUUUAUGCCACACUGAAUGGGUAGGACUUUCAUGGAAGAGUCUGAAACCUAAGAUAGUGACUGCUUGUGGGUCAUAGAGCUUUGGAGAAUCUGGAGAAACAUAUAAAAACCUUACUCCAGAAAAUUGCAGGUAUUCACAAAUACAUAACGAUGGGUGUAUUACUUCACGGUUUUUGGCAAGGAUAAGAAUUACCGUAGGGAAUAUAAAUAAUAUAUUUUUCUUGCUUAUGAUGUCAUACCAACACACUAAAAUCCCCAAAUCAAACUAGCCUAGUUUGAUCUUAAAACUUCAAGAUGCAGGAAGGAAAAUGGUACAUUAGUGGGUUAGUGGACACAAGAAAAGGAGCCCUAAUUAUCACCCUUUUCUGUCCAAAGCUGUAAUCAUGAAGCACUGAAAGGGGGAAGGGAGGAAGGGAAGUAGAGUAGUUGUAAAGAGUAAUAUAUUGCUUUGCUCAAUUUGCUACUGUUGGAAGGAAAUCAAAGAAAUGAUUUCUGACUCUGAUCCUUAUAUCUGAAAGUUGAUCAAUGGGGACAAAAAAUUAAGCAACAAGAUGCCAUAGGAAGUACCUUUUCCAUAGGUACUAGAUGGUAUUUCAGAAAACAAGGAAGAAUCUGUUCCUCACCUAUAAAAUCAGUAUGUAGAAUGUACCUAACAGGCAGAUAUGGAAGAUUAAAUGAGUUAAUGUGUCUGAAAGAGAUUUGCAGACUGUUAGGUACUGUACAAAUGUCAGCUAUUAUUUUUACAAAAGGCUGCAGACUUGUAAUAAUAGUCAGAUUAGAUAAAAAUUCAGAAGGUCCAGGAAUCCCUUUUGCUUGCUCCUACAUUAGCUUAAUGACCCGCCUGCAGAAUAUGUGCUCUGAACUCUGUUUGAAGGGCUAAAGAAGUGAACACACAGUUAUUUGUCCCAACAAAAUCAGUGAAGCCAGCUGAAGUUUGGAAUUCAAUCUGUAGCCAUGCUAAACUAGUCAAGAGUAUGUCACUUAUACUCUGCAUUUUCCAAAUUAUUUAAAAGAGUGAUCUCCAAAGGAGAUUGUGUGCCUCAAGUUUGGGUACAAGAAAAUCACUGGGAUGGAGGGAAGAAAAAAAUGAAAACUACUAUUCGCUUACAAUUCUUUAUCUUGUUUUUGAAAAAAUCAUUUUUGUUUAAUAAUCUGCAAAAUACGUUAGUACAGUUACACACACACACACAUAUAUAUAUAUAUACACACACACACACAAUUAGAAUGUGUUUAAUUGUUUUACUGCUUGGUGUGCAUACUCAAAAAUGUUUAAUAUGCAAGUUCUUUUAUGUAGGCAAUAUUAUUUGAUCUCCUGGCUGUAUUAAAUCAUUAUUCCCAUUACAGAGUCAAGGAAACCAAACACGGGACGACUGAUUUCUGCACAUCUUAUCCAGCAUAACCAAGAUAGCAUUCUAGAUUUUAACUCUAAGGUCUGCACUUUACAACCAGACAGGACCGACCGUUCUGAAUUCAGCUUUUGGCAGAAGUCACCAGAUGGUAGCCAGAGGACUGUAGGAUAGACUAGUGUUCUAUCAGAAAGCAUAAAUAAGGUGAAGACAUAAGAAGGGAACAUGGGUCGUGUGUCAGUUCAGAGCAGCUCUUCUAAUAUCAAAUAUUGUACAGUAAUAUGUAUAGUUACGUGUCAGCAUGCAGUGAUCCCAAACCAGUGCAAAUUGAUCAUGUCUACUAUUACCAUGGACAGCCUUUUAAGUGCUCCAGAUCUCAAAUAUGGAAAAUGAGAUACUUCUCUCCACCCUCUCUCCAAAAAACAAAAACAAAAACUUGUUACCAUCACUAUAUUGAUGUAUUAUUUAUAAAUGGCAUUUUCGGUAUUUCUUGCACUUUCCUAUCUUCCUGUAAGGUGCUAUUUAAAUGCUAACUAUUGUUUGUAUUUAACAAGCCUCAGCUAGAGGAAAAAUGUAUACCUCAGUUUCUGCAGUCAGGGCUAAAAAAGCUGAAAGGAAAUUGCCUAUCCUCGAUUACAACAACAUAAACUUGACUUCCUCACCUUGCAUUCUCUUUGCUGUUUUCUGGUUCAAAACUAUGUUCAGAGCCAAGAAUUCAUUUUCUUGGAUAUCUUCAAAAGAUAUGUUUCAACAACAGGAAUUAGUAUAAUUAUUGAAAACACCAAGUGACCUGUUCUUUUGUGUAAGUUUUGUGUACAUGGGUUGAAUGGCCAGAAAUGGGCCUUAAAAAAUACCCUAUUUUUCUGAACAUGGAGAUUUCAAAGAUAUGUGUGCUUCUGGGCAAAGAAUAAAUGUGAGAAGGCUCUGUCCUUUUAAAAGUCAAAAAGGAAAUGCAAAACUACCUUUAAUGUGUAAAAUAAGAUGGGUACUUAAUAAUUUACUAUACUAGUUGUAGUAAAUUAAUUAUAUUGAUACAUUUCCAUUUCUGAACUCUGUAUCUGAAGUAUGUCUUUAAAAUUCAGUAACUGGCCAUUUUUUUUUUCUUUAUGGUUCAGGUGGCUCAUAUUGCUGAUUCUGCAAGUUAGCCUGCUUGGAUAUGAGCCACUUACAUGUAAAAUACAUAUGUUACAGAAUCACAGAAUCUGAAGGCUGGCAAAAAUCUUUAAGAUAAGCUACUGAUCCCUUAUUUUUGAGAAGAGGAAAAAGGAUCCCCAAAAUGGGAAAUCAAACAGCAGCUGAGUCAGUAAAUAACAAGAAACCUAAAUAUGGUAUAUUUAUUCAACAAAUAUUUGCUGAGUAUGAAGCAUUGGCCUGAGUCUGGAUAGAGAGUUAUAUUCAAAGACAACGAUACGGCCACAUAAAUGAUCAAAAUUAAGGAAGAUAUUAGUUGGCAAGGAAGAUGUUUAACAACAUGUUCUUGUCUCUACUAUGUAAAUAAAUAUGCUAACAAGGCAACUUCAAUGUAAACAGCUGUUUACUAACAAGUAUUAUACCUAUCAGAUUUGCACACCAAGAAAUUGAGGGGAGAUGAUUAUCCUAAAACCUGUAUAUCAAGUAAGAGGUACAGUCAGGACCACUAUAAAUAUCAGCUAUGUGAAGCUGAAUGCAUCAUCAAAACAGCAUCAUUUUCAUGCUUGACCUUUUGUAUCAUCACCUGUAAUCAUGUGUGUGAAUGUGAGGUAUAAAACAGACAACAAUGAGUGAUGAUUUACAGCAAAUCACAGUGAAAAAAAUAACAUAAUGGGUCUUUAAAUGCAACCUUGCCUAAGUUGUAUAAAUAAUGUUAGUUGUCCUUGCUUGAAUUUUGUGGUAAACAGGCAGAAGGACGGAAAUGAAGAUCUAAUGGGAGAUGACGUUUAAAAAAACAAAAACAAAAACCAGAAGGACAAUUCUUUCUGAGUUGAAACAAAAUGUUAGUAUUGCUAAAAUUAGGUAAAAAUAUUUUUAAAUGUAUCCAUAUAAAUGGAAAUGCACAUAGUUCAUACAUUUCACUAUUUGCACACCUAAAUAAUCUUGACCUCAAGAAAGCCUAAAGCUGUUAUUAUUAUUUUUGAGGAUGAUUUCCUUGUGAAAGUGACAGAGGAGAAACAGAAUCAUAGAUUACCAUAUGUCUGAGAUAUCAUCAACAUAGGAAGUUGGCAUACUUGUAUGAAAACUCUU